AAGAAGAAGAAAAAAUUAUAUAUCUUCAGAUCAUCUCUCUUUUUACAUCCUCGCAUGAAGGCGCAUCGAAUGAAUUAUUUCUUAUAACCGUACGAGUUGAUUGCUGGAAAAGAGAAGAGAAGGAUCAAUUAUUAAAAAAAAGAAGAGGAUCGAGAGGAUUUGUCGCAUACCAUCGUAUUCCUUGUCGCAUAAUAAUAACAAUUCCAACCAUUGUGGCCCCGUUACACGAGGAAGUUGCAAGUUUCCACCGUAGCAGGCUGGCAAACAUUUGGGGGAGAUGUAUUGGUGCAACGAUUUCCGAUCAUUGCCGUGGAAGAUCAGCUGCGA
Long non-coding RNA from Apis laboriosa (Himalayan honeybee), 327 nucleotides. RefSeq lists it as uncharacterized. The transcript is spliced from 2 exons. Lineage: Eukaryota; Metazoa; Arthropoda; Insecta; Hymenoptera; Apidae. The record is from RefSeq and is a predicted model, not a curated record.